UAACCUUAAGCCCAACCUACGAAGGAGUUCACAAGGCGGACUUCAGAAGCCUCUAAGGAAAUUUGAAUCUCUUUACACUCAGACCACGCCCCCUAUGGUGAUUUCAAGUCACCGCUUCCGUCAUGCUGGAAAUCGCUUCUGGCGGUAGAGGAGACUCAAACACUACCUAUCAUACAUCAAACGAAUCAUUUAUCCCUCCUCUUUCUAAGCCCUAAACUCACUCAUUCCAAUUUCAACUUCAUCAUUCUAAACCGACUAUACCAAACAAAGAACCCUAAUUCUAAAUUCAUCAAUUAUUUGCAAGAUAUGGGAAGAUGUAGGCGAAGCAAUUAGGGCUUCAGCUUUAGGAUCUAUAGGCUAUAACUUGCCAACUCAGAAAUGUAAAGAAGAGGCUGCAGAUUACCUACACACGAAGCUUCUGAUGAUGUUGAUGGCAAGAAAAUACCAGAGGCAACACCAGCUAAUUAUGAUUAUUCAACAUUGCAAUUCUUCUUCUACUCAAUCCCCUUAAUUUGUAGCAAAAAUCUACGUUAUGCAAUUGAGAUGUGGCGAGAGAGUAACGAGUCCGAGAGUGAUGAAUGAAGGCUUAAGCUCCACCAAUUGAGGCUUCGAUGUGAAGCUUCAAUGGUGCAUUCUAAGGAGAGAUCAAGUGAGGGUUGGUUCAGAGGGAGAGAGAAUAUGAGGUCAAUUUUUUGUGAGAAUUCUGAGAGUGAAAAUGGUUGAGUGACAUGAAUGAACUGUGAUGAGAGAUUUUUUAGAAACCCAUUCUAUUACAAAUCCAUAUGAAAUUCAAGUUAAAUGCAAAUCUAAAUUCGGAAGUUAGUUGUGAAAUGUGUUAGUUAGUUAGUCAGUUGCAUUGAUUCUGUUAAUGAAUCUGGUGUUAGUUUUAAAUGAAUUUGGAGUUAAUUUGAAAAUGAUUUUGAAGUUAAUUUUGAAAGUGAACUUAAGGUUAAUUUGUUUUGAAUUUAUAAUUAAUUUGUUAUAUGUUUGGACAAGUUAAAUUCUAGGGAAUUGAUUCUUGAAAAUGAAUUUUGUUCUGUUAUGAUUUCGUUAGUAGUUCUGUUAUAUCGGUUCGAAGUAAAAAAUUAGUCAGUGUAGUUAGUUAAUGGAUUAUGGAUUUGGUUCAUGCCAUGUUAAUUAAGUUGUUUAUUUUAAUUGUGAUGCCAUGUUUAUGCUGUUGUGAAGGUUGCAACAUUGAUGUUUGGAUCAUUGCAUUGCAGGGUGAAUAUUUAUGCAGGUCUGCUUACAUUGGCUUGUUAUGAAUGCCCUGCUUGAUUGUUAUGUAUUGUUCUACCUUGGACUAUUAUAUUGCAGAUGUACUAUUGGGUUUUGAAUCGCAUUGAUCAAGUUAGGUAUGUGGCAACUAGGUAUUGCUUAGGGUGGCUUGACUGAACUGAUGUACGAUGGGAUUCCAUUUGAAUGUGUUUGCUACAGGCUUCACUUGGCAUGGUCUUGAUGUAGGCAUGGUGGGCAAAAUUGUAAGUUAUCUUCAAGGCAAGAAAGACAAGUUCAAGCUAUGAUGACCAAUUUGGAAAAUGCUUUACUAAUUGAGUAAAUGGUGGCCAUGGAUGAUCAUGAGAUGCUACAAUGAUGAAUAUGUGAUUAAUGUUAAGAUUCUAGGGUGAAAAAAUGAAUUUUGAUUUAUUUUUGUAAAGAACAAUGUAUGCUUUGAUAAAUGAAUGAAGAAUUCAUGUUUUAAAUGUAA
This is a long non-coding RNA of Lathyrus oleraceus (garden pea), 1705 nucleotides long. RefSeq lists it as uncharacterized. The transcript is spliced from 2 exons. Lineage: Eukaryota; Viridiplantae; Streptophyta; Magnoliopsida; Fabales; Fabaceae. The record is from RefSeq and is a predicted model, not a curated record.